This 73-nucleotide transfer RNA is filed under the name Actinomycetota bacterium. RNAcentral's name for it is "Actinobacteria bacterium tRNA-Thr". It matches the Rfam family "tRNA". From Rfam's summary of the family: Transfer RNA (tRNA) molecules are approximately 80 nucleotides in length. Their secondary structure includes four short double-helical elements and three loops (D, anti-codon, and T loops). Lineage: Bacteria; Bacillati; Actinomycetota. The record is from RNAcentral.
GCCGGCGUGGCGCAAUUGGCAGCGCACCUGUCUUGUAAACAGGGGGUUCCCGGUUCAAGUCCGGGCGUCGGCC